This 700-nucleotide ribosomal RNA is filed under the name uncultured Bacillota bacterium. RNAcentral describes it as "bacterial SSU rRNA". It matches the Rfam family "Bacterial small subunit ribosomal RNA", at positions 9 to 696 of the family's 1533-position model. Lineage: Bacteria; Bacillati; Bacillota. The record is from RNAcentral.
GGAUUUCNUCCUGGCACAGGACGAACGCUGGCGGCGUGCCUAAUACAUGCAAGUCGAGCGGAUCUUGUCCUUCGGGGCAAGGUUAGCGGCGGACGGGUGAGUAACACGUAGGCAACCUGCCUGUAAGACUGGGAUAACUCACGGAAACGUGAGCUAAUACCGGAUAAUCGAUUCCCUCGCCUGUGGGAAUCGUGAAAGAUGCUUCGGCAUCACUUGCGGAUGGGCCUGCGGCGCAUUAGCUAGUUGGCGGGGUAAUGGCCCACCAAGGCGACGAUGCGUAGCCGACCUGAGAGGGUGAUCGGCCACACUGGGACUGAGACACGGCCCAGACUCCUACGGGGAGGCAGCAGUAGGGAAUCUUCGGCAAUGGACGAAAGUCUGACCGAGCAACGCCGCGUGAGUGAGGAAGGCCCUCGGGUCGUAAAGCUCUGUUGCCAGGGAAGAAUGGCGGGGAGAGGAAAUGCUCUCCGUUUGACGGUACCUGAGAAGAAAGCCCCGGCUAACUACGUGCCAGCAGCCGCGGUAAUACGUAGGGGGCAAGCGUUGUCCGGGAAUUAUUGGGCGUAAAGCGCGCGCAGGCGGUUUCUUAAGUCUUGUGUUUAAUCCCGAGGCUCACCUCGGUUCGCAUGGGAAACUGGGAAACUGGGAGUGCAGGAGAGGAAAGUGGAAUUCCACGGUGUAGCGGUGAANUGCGUAGAUU